This is an RNA transcript of Cynoglossus semilaevis (tongue sole), 5638 nucleotides long. It is a transcript of the gene named tpd52 like 2b, with no coding region annotated. The transcript has 8 exons. Lineage: Eukaryota; Metazoa; Chordata; Actinopteri; Pleuronectiformes; Cynoglossidae. The record is from RefSeq and is a predicted model, not a curated record.
AAUUGGACAGUUUAGGCUGUUCCCGUCGACGACUUUUAUCAAAGUGGAAGCAGCAACCACAGAAGAGCAGGCAGAUAAUUGUUGGACUGCUUGUAGAAAGCGAUUCUUUGCUGCUUUGAAACCCAAUUAGGUCAGGAGUCGAGUCAAACUUUAAAGUUAAAAGUCUCCGCCGUGUCACAUCGACGUCAUGGACCCUGCCAGUCAAGAUAUCAACCUGAACUCUCCCAACAAGGGCCUUGGUGUAGAUCAUUCAGACACACUGUCGGAUGUGCCAGUGGAGGGAACAAUGCAAAACUCUGCCAACCCUCUCCCACCCGGUCUGACAGAGGAGGAAGCUGAGGAGCUCCGCACCGAGCUCUCCAAGGUGGAGGAGGAGAUCAACACUCUGCGUCAGGUUCUGUCAGCCAAAGAGAGACACGCCAUAGAGCUGAAGAGGAAACUCGGUCUCAGCACACUUGAAGAACUCAAGCAGAAUCUUUCCCGGAGCUGGCAAGACGUACAAACCUCCAAUGCCUAUGUGAGAACCACAGAGAAACUGGGCGAGUGGAAUGAGAAAGUUACCGGUUCAGAUUUAUAUCUGUCUGCUUCAGCCACUUUGGAUGACAUUACCCACUCUGAAGCAUACAAGAAGACUCAGGAGACUCUUACCCAAGCGGGACAGAAAACUAGUGCAGCUCUCACCACAAUGGGCUCGGCCAUCAGCAGGAGGCGGGGGGACAUGAGGUACAGUGAGGUCGAGCCAAAAUGGCUGACGCACUUGCUCAGCUGCCAGAACAAACCAAAGUGAAAAGUGUGGAAAAAAGAAUGGGAAUAAUAAUAAUAAUGUAGUAUGUAACUUAUUCUGCAAAAGACACAUCUGAUGUGUUUUACCACCAAAGUUUGCAUCGUUAUUAAUUUUCUACAAUCAAUGGAUUGUUAUGGUAAACAUCAGAGCUUCCCUUCAGAACUCAAACAACCUGAGUACUGUUGUGCGACAGUCAAUAUUUGUUGAGGUCUGACACUUUUUUAUCAGGCUGUUCAGUCAUCAGAUGCAUUCCCAUCUAUUGCAACACGUUCCACUCCUUGUUUACAGCUGCUGCUGCUAAUGUCUUUGUCUGUCUUUGUCUUUUUUGUAAACUAGUCUUUUAAGUACUGAUGUGAAAAGAACUGUGGAUUAGAUGCUAACAACCUGUGAUGUGUCACUCCUUUGGAAACCUAUUCUAUUUAUUGCCGGGGUGUGUCUGUAAUAUGAAAUUAGAGGAAACGUGAUAGGGGAGGUUUAUUUGGGAAUUUAGACCAACCUGUCCUACAUUUGGUAUGUUUAGUGUUGUCCCAGUGGGACAUCCCAAACUCUGUGAGGAAAAAAGUCUAUAAUGAUUAUUAGUCUUAGUUAUAGAUCAGUUAGGUUAGUUGUAGAAAUAACCAGUAGCAUCAGAGACAGAGGAGAAUUGUAGUUUUGAUUUGUCUCAUAUCACUGUCUCAGCAUCCUUUUUUUUACAUGGACACAGUGUCUUUACCUAAAGUCACACCAGAGUGACUAGAGAAAUUCACUCCUACUGAGGAACAGUAAAUAUACACAGCUAUGAUUCUCAUGUAAACAGUUGGUGCCAUGUUUACUGUCACACCACUCAGUAAAUAUUUUAAUUUUCCAUCCAAGCACUAAUAUUGAUAGUCGUUCUUCACGCAAGGGUGUGUUGUAUGUGAUGGAAAAGUGGAUGUCUCUGUCUUUAGCACAUCAACUCUUAUGUUCCCCCUCCUCCACCAUGUACUUGCAAGCAAAUUGGACCUGUUUUCCCCUGUCCUUUCCUGCAUGUUCUUGUUGUGUUCGUCCAAAGUAGCGUCGAAAGAUUGCUGCAUGUUGUCACGCUAUUGUUGGUGCAAGGCAUGAAAUGAAAAUCAGUGGAUGUGCCCACGCUUUCUGUAGAAGUAACGCAGCUGUAGAUUUAACACAUUUAUUUUACUAAUACAUGACAAUAUACACAAACAUACAGUAUAUACGUUUGGUAAGUUUUAAAAACCGGGUCAUUCACUGCUGCUUUACUUCACGUGGGUUACUGUCCAAAUCACCUGUUUUGUUUUAAUUAUUGGUUUUUUUUUUUGUCUUCUACAACUGCUGCUGUUGCUCAUGCUCUCCCUGUCUUUGUUUUUUAAUUGCUGCCUUGGUUUUACCUGCAGAGCGCUACCUUUCUCUAAUUCCUUUAGGUGAGAUUAUCAUGUCCUGUUUCCAAGAACAAGUGUUUGAGCCCAACAGCAUGUGACCUAGAAUUUAAACAAAUACCCUGAAAUUCUCCAGUGUACAGUUAACUGUAGAUGUUUGAUUUUCAGCUUUUGGUGUGUGUGUAUGAGAGUGUGCGAGAAAGUCUGAGAACAUUUCCGUGCUUGCUUUAUAACACUGCACUUCUCUGUCUCCUCUCUAAUGCUUACAAAGUAGCAACUAUUCCAUUCGCCACUCGAUAAGUAUGCCCGCCAUGAGGAACUCUGCGACCUUCAAGUCAUUUGAAGAUAAGGUGGGAAACCUGAAGUAUAAAGUCGUUGGCACCAAGGGAAACGGAGAUGUCGUGAGCUCUCCCACUGACUCCACCCCAACGCAGGAGAACCCACCCUUCUGAACACCACCGGCCUCCUCCUCUUCCUUUUCCUUCUUCUUCUCUUCUUCUUCCUCAUCUUCUUUCUCCUUGCUGCCACCUUCCUUCACGACCUGAGACUGUACUCUUAUCACCUCACAUCGCAGUCAGCCCUGACCUUUGACUCUUCACCUAACCGGCCUCACCUCAGUCACUUUCUCUCCUCGAGUUCUGCAGACAAACAGAAGGGACUUGUGGGUUUGAGGUGGAGGCAACUUGUUGCCAGUUUCACUGACUGUGAUCCUGUGGCCUCUGUUCUUCUGUCUCACUGUUUCUGUAAAAUCCUACUGAUGUCUAAAUAUGAAUCACAGCCUUCAAGCUUUACUUUUUUUUUUCUUCUGUAAGAUUAUCAUUUAUUUUCUUGGUUUUCUCAAUUCGAAAUCUGAAAGUGAUCUGUUACCUUCUUUUAAGCAUGUCACAGUUUCAUCACGUCACCCGGAUCAAAGCUAAAGCACAGACGAGAAAGACAAAUGUGAAGUUCCUGAACUUUCAUUUGUUCUUAAUGUAGUUUGGAAUUGAAUUUGUAGUUCGUACUUAAAAUUGGGAGGAUGGCCUUUGACUUUUAAAUGGCCACAAAUAAAGUUCACUGUAGGUCUUGGAGAGUUUAAACCACGAGAAAACUGAUUGAAUAAUCGACACAUUUAAGUGAAAAUCUGACCCCAAAACAGUCAAAACCACAUCCUGCAGGUUUUAUGUUUUGUCAUUUGACUAAAAAAAAUGUACGGACUGAUAAUAGAUAAAGAUUGAACAGUUACAAGUAAUAUUAUUGACGGGUAAAUUUACUCUUUCUGUCUGUUACCGAGUUUGUCAUCAAAGGUGCAUUUACACUGUGAUCGCCUGCUGGUGUCACUAAAGCUUUACCGCCAUUUGCUAGACAUCAAACCGUCUUUGCUUGACCUCUUUUUGGUUGCCAGCAGUGUGACGCAGGCUACACUCGCAGUUUGGUGGUAGGAGGUGGACCUCCACAAUAACCCAGACAUCGUCUUAGACCAACUACUGCUCCGUGCAUGUGCAUAUCUCACUUGUACCAGACAAACCAGGCAAAGACGACCGAGGUCAUGUGUAAACACCUUACAGACACCCCAGGAUGUAAAAACUGAAACUAAAACCAUUUUGUAUUAUAAACUAUUUUACACUGCUUUGCAUAAUGUUUUUACAUAACUUUUAUCGAUAUGUAUAAAUAUAUAUAUAAAUAAAGCAAUGCUGCUGGAGGACAGGUUCAGAGGCUUGAGAGGAGCAGACAGGGGCAAAACAAACAGCAGAAAAUAAUCAGUUUGACACGCAUGACUUAUCAUCUGUCUGGGUUUUUUCCUGUUUUAAAUACACUCGAGGUCUAAAUAUAAAUUGUUUCCAUGUUUGUAAAAACUGAAUGAGCUGUUGUUUUGCACUGGUCUGGACACAGGACUGAGAAGAAACUGAACAAACUGGAAGUGUGUUUGAACUCAGGCACAGCAGGUCAGCAUCAAACUAAAACCCAAACCCGGUCGAAUGUGUUGUAAAACCACACCGGCUGUUUUCUUUUCUUUUCUACCCAGGCUGACGGCUGCUCUUAUGUUUCUGUUCAAACACAUCUCGACGCGAUGGUGUCGACGAUGCUCUGCUGUGUACAGUACUUGGUGAAUGUUGACGCUUUUCUGUCGGCCUUACUCGCGUUCAUUGGUUUUCCUCGUAGUUUAGGUGGUAGAAAAUAGGUUUCCGUUUUGUACGUGCUGUUUGUUUAGUUGGUUCAAAUGAAGGAAGAAGAGUUGGCAUUGAGAUAGUUGAGUCCACCAGUCCACAUUUCUUGGCGUCAUAUUUUUGCUGCCACAGUAGAAGCUUUGCUCGCAUCUCCUGACCACGCGAUUGCACUCCAGUUAACACUGUGUGAUGAACCUGCACGAGGCCAAAACUAGUCACAAAACGCCACAGUUGCACUUAUUGUUGAACCUCAACGUACAAUACACACCACCCUUGUCAGUACAAUGGCCAUCACACACUUUACACACAUUCAGGGACAGUGGCAGUAAACCGGAGCACACACAGUGGUGAAGAGUUGUCUCUUUUCUCACAAUUUUGGAAAAGGAAAGAAAAUAAAUUUUAAGGUUUUUUUUUUCUUUUGCUCUCUCACAACAACAUUGGUGAUACAAUAGCAACAUUGUGUUAUCCCAAACAAAUGCAAUAGUUGUUUGUGUUUUGGUGUCAUCUCUAAUGGUAGCAAUGAAAUAAAUGUAAAAAAUAAAACAAGGCAAAUUAACUAAAGAUCUUGGAUGACAUUUCUGAGAUGAAUUAUAAUAUUUCAAAUACCAUCAGUCAAAUAACUUAAAACCAAGUGCUUUUUUUUCUUUACUGCAUUGGACCUUUUCAGCUAAACUUUUUUUUUCAUUCAAGCUUAAUCUUCACAAAAUUCUAGAAAAAACCUCCACAUGAUGUUGCCAGUGUAUCACUAUUGCAUUUGCUUGUUUUUUUCCUGUAUGUGACUGCUGAACAUUUCAGUAGUUUUUUUUUUUUUCCGCAAGGGGUUUGAUGUUGGAGACAUUUCUUCUUUGUAAAUGUUUUCAAAGCUGGUUGCCAAUAUUUAAAUAUAUGUUACAAGGUGUCUUUGCCAUUACUUCCCAGAAACUCUUGACUGCUUUGCCAAAAUAACAACGCAGACAUGCUAACACAGGGUUUGUCUCCAGUCAUAUGUUGUAACUUUUGUUCAUAAUAUUAUAAGAUUAUGUUUUUCUUGGGAAAUUGAGUUUGGCCAGCACAUACUUGUGAAAGACUCCAAAAUGCCAAAAUAGGUAGAUGCGGUAUUCUGUUUUAAGUUGUUGUUGGACUAGGGUAGGAAGGGUAAACUAUCUUGUUGGUGUACAGCACAUGAGAACCAGUCACUGCUGAGGCUGUUGGACACUAGUUCAUACUCAUAGCUUUAUUAGGUCAAGGGCUGAGCUGAUGUAGUAAUGUAAAAGGGAUCAGAUGUGAGAGAUUAUGAUGAUGAAUGAAUAAAAACAACAGAUUUAUUGGUUUUGUUCUGUAUGUUAGUAUAUCAAUAAAGCAUUCCUUUGAAUGACAAA